This is an unclassified non-coding RNA of Cavia aperea (Brazilian guinea pig), 177 nucleotides long. NCBI's taxonomy places the organism in Eukaryota, Metazoa, Chordata, Mammalia, Rodentia, Caviidae. The record is from Ensembl.
AUAUUGAAAAACACCAGAUGAUCUGCUUUGAAGGGACAUAAACAGGCCAAGCGGAUGCAGGUUAAUAAAACCCGCAAAAGCCCAGACAGGAACACUUAAAAUGCCCCAGAACAAAACACAACCGUGACAAAUUCUCAUCCAACACACAACUACAUGCACAGAAAUGUUCUCAGACAC